Small nuclear RNA from Bos grunniens (domestic yak), 104 nucleotides. The record is from Ensembl. NCBI's taxonomy places the organism in Eukaryota, Metazoa, Chordata, Mammalia, Artiodactyla, Bovidae.
GUCUUCAUUUGGGCAGCACAUAUACUAAAAUUGGAACGAUACAGAGAUUAGCAUGGCCCCUGUGCAAGGAUGACAUGCAAAUUCGGGAAGCAUUCCAUAUUUUU